UGCAAAUUCGCUAAAUAACCAGAAACCACUUCAACCACCUGACCCAGGGCAAAAACGAAAAACCGUGCCCCGAGACUGAGAGAUGAGAAAAAGUCUGGACUUGAGAUGGAAACUGCGAACAAUCACAGCCGAGAAGACCUGACAAUGGCUUGACAAUGAGUGGAGGUAACGCAGCACACCCUGGGGCGAGCAGACGUGUAAUGUUAAGGCACUAACUACAGACUGAAUGGACACACAGCAGAGCAAGACGUUCAUGUGUGAAAUGAGAUCUGUGCACAAUCAGUGGGAGUCGCAGCCAUAAAAGUGCAUCAAGCUCCUCUGCUUUAAGAUGAACCCAUUCAUGGACAACCAAACAUGAAAUGUGUCAGCAACAGACAUUUCCAACCCUUCUGCUUCUUCUUGUACACACAAAAAGUCGAAACAUUUCCAAUAAGUUCAACUCGACAAGACAGACAAUCCUGGCUCAGUGAUGUCUCAUUUUUACAACUGAGGAUUAUCAUCUGCUCCGUAUAUCAGCAGAACCACGGACUCAUUAUUUUUUUAUGAUUUGUCAUUUGCAAUAGAAAUUCAACAAAUCUCCCCAAGGCCCCUCAGUGUGUGUAUCUCAUUCCAAUAUUUUGCAAGCAUAAAUCCUGAAUCAUAAUAGGAUAUAUAAUGUGAAUAUGAGCUCUAUUAUUCCUUCUAACCCUGACAGGUAACUAUAGGCUGAAAUAUGUUUGUAUGCAAACACAGAGAGACAGCGGGUUGUGAUGGGAGAUGUGGGAUUUCAGCAGUUCUCCUUCACUCUGAUGGAUGGAUGCUUCACUGCUACACAGAUGGAAAGAGAUAGGAGGAGGCAUUGAGGACGCAGGGAGCAUCAGGAGAGUACAGGGCACAAGAAAGGGAUUGAUCAGUCAUAGAAAAAGAGAUAAAGGACUGCUCGGACAGUGGGGGGUUAGUCGUGAUGUGUGGUGAUCAAUUUAAAAUUCUCAAACAUGAAAGUUUACAAAUGUGGUGCCAGUAUGUGCGCAAAUGCAGCACGUCGAGAUCCACAAGAUCAGUUUCACUCAGUGGUGCAUUCUGGAGUGUGUCACCUAAAAAGUAUUAGCAAAAUAUAAGCACUAGCUGGGUUGUUGUAAUAACUUUGAGUUGCAGCUCAGGGAACUAUAAGACAAAAUAAGAAGACAAAGCUAAUCCCUUUUGUGUGGGUCACACCCAGAACAACUAUGGCUGACUAGUUCAACAAAGCUCUCACUGAGCAUGUCUGCAAACAUAUUACCACCUCUUCAUUCAGACAGGAGUGCAAUUAAAGCAGAAUAUUGUGGUCAUGGGAACACUUUAAUAAUCUCUAUAUCACACCUCGAGGAGUGAGUUUUGUAACAUCCACUAAUGAAAAAAAAUGUAUAUAUAUUUUCCUAUUCAGAAUUGUUGUGCAUUUUGCCAGCUGGAUCAGGAGUUGUCACUUGUGUUCUUGCAUGGAUCAUGUUCAGAGUUACUGAUUUAUGCAGCUGAUUUUGUCAUUUAAUUUGUGGAAUGGUUUGACAUUUGGCAAAAUAAACUUAUUUCCAAAAGGUCAAAUCAAUGCCGAAUUCAAAAAUAAAGCUGCAUCCAGGCAAGUUUCAACAGAAACUAUUUCAGUGUAUUGUGUUUGUUUAAUUCAAGGAUUAUCCCAGCCAGCAAUAAGUUAAUUUCAAAGGGUGCUAUGUGCACUUUUCCUUGGCCAGGGAUAAAAAGGAGUUUAAUUGGCAGGAGCUCGCUGGGUAAGGUAUUUUUUGUCACAUAACCUUUCAUUAAAUGAAAUUUUGUCAUUCACCACUUGGUUUUGCACAAAUCAACAAGAAAAUGUGUAUUAGUGAGCUUAGAAGAUGCUGUGAGGUCACAAAAGAAGGAUGGGCUAGCAUGUUCCUGACAUUCCCAUCCAAGUGCUUUUUACACUGCCAAAAAUAAUAAAAACGUUAUUUAAAAAAUAAUAAUAAA
Molecule: long non-coding RNA, 1956 nt
Organism: Amphiprion ocellaris (clown anemonefish)
Lineage: Eukaryota; Metazoa; Chordata; Actinopteri; Pomacentridae
Exons: 3
Source: RefSeq, a predicted model, not a curated record